AACGAACGCUGGCGGCAUGCCUAACACAUGCAAGUCGAACGAGACCUUCGGGUCUAGUGGCGCACGGGUUCGUAACGCGUGGGAACCUGCCCUUAGGUUCGGAAUAACUCCCCGAAAGGGGUGCUAAUACCGGAUAAUGUCUUCGGACCAAAGAUUUAUCGCCUUUGGAUGGGCCCGCGUUGGAUUAGCUAGUUGGUAGGGUAAAAGCCUACCAAGGCGACGAUCCAUAGCUGGUCUGAGAGGAUGAUCAGCCACACUGGGACUGAGACACGGCCCAGACUACUACGGGAGGAAGCAGUGGGGAAUAUUGGAAAAUGGGCGAAAGCCUGAUCCAGCAAUGCCGCGUGAGUGAUGAAGGCCUUAGGGUUGUAAAGCUCUUUUACCCGGGAUGAUAAUGACAGUACCGGGAGAAUAAGCUCCGGCUAACUCCGUG
RNAcentral lists this ribosomal RNA (433 nucleotides) under uncultured bacterium. RNAcentral describes it as "partial 16S ribosomal RNA". It matches the Rfam family "Bacterial small subunit ribosomal RNA", at positions 29 to 507 of the family's 1533-position model. The record is from RNAcentral.